This 492-nucleotide ribosomal RNA is filed under the name uncultured bacterium. Its description in RNAcentral is "partial 16S ribosomal RNA". It matches the Rfam family "Bacterial small subunit ribosomal RNA", at positions 29 to 507 of the family's 1533-position model. The record is from RNAcentral.
AGUGAACGCUGGCGGUAGGCCUAACACAUGCAAGUCGAACGGCCGCACAGUAAGAGCUUGCUCUUACGGGUGGCGAGUGGCGGACGGGUGAGGAAUACAUCGGAAUCUACUUUUUCGUGGGGGAUAACGUAGGGAAACUUACGCUAAUACCGCAUACGACCUACGGGUGGAAGCAGUGGAUCUUCGGACCUUGCGCGAUUGAAUGAGCCGAUGUCGGAUUAGCUAGUUGGCGGGGUAAAGGCCCACCAAGGCGACGAUCCGUAGCUGGUCUGAGAGGAUGAUCAGCCACACUGGAACUGAGACACGGUCCAGACUCCUACGGGAGGCAGCAGUGGGGAAUAUUGGACAAUGGGCGCAAGCCUGAUCCAGCCAUACCGCGUGGGUGAAGAAGGCCUUCGGGUUGUAAAGCCCUUUUGUUGGGAAAGAAAAGCAGCAGGUUAAUACCCCGCUGUUCUGACGGUACCCAAAGAAUAAGCAACGGCUAACUUCGUG